Molecule: transfer RNA, 72 nt
Filed under: Ochotona sp. WJ-2016d
Lineage: Eukaryota; Metazoa; Chordata; Mammalia; Lagomorpha; Ochotonidae
Description: tRNA-Gln
Rfam family: tRNA
About the family: Transfer RNA (tRNA) molecules are approximately 80 nucleotides in length. Their secondary structure includes four short double-helical elements and three loops (D, anti-codon, and T loops).
Source: RNAcentral
UAGAGUGUGGUGUAGUGGGUAGCACGGAGAAUUUUGAGUUCUCAGGGUUGGGUUCGAGACCUAAGGCUCUAG